AAUAUGUAUAUUAUUUAUUUUAAAGUUUUAUUAUUUCUUAAUUAAAAUAAUAUUUUUAUUAGUAUUUUUUAAAGAAUAUAAUAUUUUAAUUAUAGUUUAUUUGUACUGUGAAGGUUUUAUUCUAUUUAUUUAUAAGAACAUAUUAAUAUGUUACCUUUUGUAUCAGGGUUUAUUCAGAAAGUUUCAUUUAAAAUGAAAUUUCCCGAAAUUUUAAGAGUUAAAUUAAAAUGAUAGUUUAUGUUAUAAAAUAAUUAUAAAUUUUAAUUUAGUGGAGAUAUUCUAUUCAUUUAAAAAUAUCUGGUUUUUUAAUAAUUAAAUUUAAUUUAUAAUCAAUGAGUUAUUAAAUACUUAUAUUUACUUUAAUUUAUUGAUUAAAAGUAAUAAGGGAUUAGCUUUAUUACUACUUUACAAUUUUAUUAUACUAAGGCUUAGUAGGUUUAAAAUCAUCCAUCUUUAAUUUCGUUAUAGAUUAUCCUUUUUAUUUAUUUAUUUAUUUUAAUUUAAAUUUUUAUUAAAAUUAUUAAUUAAAUUCUUUAAUUAAUAUAAUAAUGAUAAAAUUAGUAGUUUUUAAAAUUUAAAUAUAGUAAUUCGGCAAAUAUUGUUUCCGCCUGUUUAACAAAAACAUGUCUUGAAGAUCUUAAUUUUAAGUCUAUCCUGCUCAAUGAUUUUAAUAAUUAAAUAGCCGCAGUAUUUUAACUGUGCAAAGGUAGCAUAAUCAUUUGUCUUUUAAUUGAAGGCUUGUAUGAAUGGUUGGACGAGAUACAUUCUUUCUUUAUUUAAAUUUAUGAAUUUUAUUUUUGAGUAAAAAAGCUUAAAUUCUUUUGUAAGACGAGAAGACCCUAUAGAAUUUUAUUAAUUCUUAAUUAAUUUUUAUCAAUUUUAUUUAUUUAUUAACUAAAAAUUAAUUUUGUUGGGGUGACAAUGAAAUUUAAUUAACUUUCAUUAAUAUUACUCAUUAAUUAAUGUAUAAAUGAUCCUUUAUUAUGGAUUAAAAGAUUAAAUUACCUUAGGGAUAACAGCGUAAUUUUUUCUGAGAGUUCUUAUCGAUGAAUAAAGUUUGCGACCUCGAUGUUGGAUUAAAGUUAGAUUUAAGUGCAGAAGCUUAAUUUCUAGGUCUGUUCGACCUUUAAAUCUUUACAUGAUCUGAGUUCAGACCGGCGUGAGCCAGGUUGGUUUCUAUCUUCAAUUUUAUUUUAAUUUUUUAGUACGAAAGGACCAAAUAUUAAUAAUAUUUAUUUAUUUUAUGAUUAAUAUU
Molecule: ribosomal RNA, 1255 nt
Filed under: Metatropis brevirostris
Lineage: Eukaryota; Metazoa; Arthropoda; Insecta; Hemiptera; Berytidae
Description: 16S ribosomal RNA
Rfam family: Archaeal large subunit ribosomal RNA (bases 822-1186)
Source: RNAcentral